CAGUCGCCACGGGAAUACGAAGGGUGCAAGCGUUAAUCGGAAUUACUGGGCGUAAAGCGUGCGUAGGCGGUUUGUUAAGUCUGCUGUGAAAUCCCCGGGCUCAACCUGGGAAUGGCAAUGGAUACUGGCGAGCUAGAGUGUGUCAGAGGAUGGUGGAAUUCCCGGUGUAGCGGUGAAAUGCGUAGGGAUCGGGAGGAACAUCAGUGGCGAAGGCGGCCAUCUGGGACAACACUGACGCUGAGGCACGAAAGCGUGGGGAGCAAACAGGAUUAGAUACCCCUGUAGUCCCUGUCUCUUAUAC
This 301-nucleotide ribosomal RNA is filed under the name uncultured bacterium. RNAcentral describes it as "partial 16S ribosomal RNA". It matches the Rfam family "Bacterial small subunit ribosomal RNA", at positions 509 to 807 of the family's 1533-position model. The record is from RNAcentral.